UUUCUUUUCUCAUUUUAUUCUUUUUUUUUCAUAAGGAAUAUGUAUUGUCAUCCUUCUUUUCUUUUUCCACUUUUUUUUUUUCAUUUUUUCCAUUAUUUUAUUUUAUUUUAUUUUUUGUCAACCUUUGAAACAUCACAACUAUAUUAAUUCAACCUCACACAACUCCAAACAAAACUCUUCCAACCAUUUGAAUAGGGUGAUACCAUUGUUUUUCACUUUUCGACUUGUAAUGAAU
This 235-nucleotide long non-coding RNA is filed under the name Lathyrus oleraceus (garden pea). RNAcentral describes it as "Pisum sativum (pea) long non-coding RNA (PSAT_LNC024190)". The record is from RNAcentral. Lineage: Eukaryota; Viridiplantae; Streptophyta; Magnoliopsida; Fabales; Fabaceae.